Molecule: long non-coding RNA, 1774 nt
Filed under: Ursus maritimus (polar bear)
Lineage: Eukaryota; Metazoa; Chordata; Mammalia; Carnivora; Ursidae
Description: lncRNA (ENSUMAG00000014700.1)
Source: RNAcentral
AUUUUUUAUUCCUUAGAGCAAAGAUUCUAGAUUUCUUUCUUUCUUUUCCUUUUUUCUUUUUACAAGCUGUUUAUUUUCCAUCAACCUUAUUUCCACUUCCUGUUUAGAGUCGGUGGAAAUAGAGCUUCAGACUGGUUAGUAGUCCUCCCCACGCUCAGGCCUGAGCAGUGGGAGCUGCAGGCCAGGCCUCAGCAGGGCACCAACCUCCAGACAGGGCCAGAGGGCACCGUGAGCCUUCAGACCCCACCACCACCUCUGGCUGAGUAACAGCGAACUCUGGCGCUGGGGCUGUGCAGCUGGCCUGAAAUUGGUCCUUGCUCACACCCUUCCCAGCAGCGGCCUGCUCUUUCUUGUCCGUCUCCUCAGGAUCUGUGCGGAAGUAGAGCUCUGGCGUAACUUCCCGCGAGCGCUCAAGGGAGCCAGGACUGCACAUGCGCAAGAGUUCCCAGCCAGCGUCUGCCUCGUCAGACCCACUGAGUUAGUUCAGUGUGGUUGCACAAGUUGGCGGCAGCCACGUCGGUGGAGGAGAUCUCCUCUGUCAUACAGAGCAGUGGUAGGCAGGUUAACAUGAGAUGCCUCUGGAGAGGUUGGUGGCGAGUACCGGGAGCAGGAGCCACCAGAAGUCUCGGCUCUGGAAAGUUGCCUGGAUCUGGUAAUGGAAGGUUCCAGGAAUGAAGCAGCCAGCAGCCAGAGUGGCUCCAGGGGCAGCAGCAACCUUCAGCACAGCCUGCUGGCCAGUAGUCUUGGAGGAUGUGACAUGACAUCACCGGGUUUUUAAAUGACAACAAUGGCACGAGCUGCCAGCAGAGCUUCUCCCAGGCUGUCCUCAGAUUUAUGCUGUAAAUGCCAUUUUCUUUUCGUAGAUGUACCGAUCCAUUUGGAAGUCAAGCAUUAAGGAAACCUGAACAAAUCUACAAGCACCACUGCCCACCCUAGAACUUGAAGACUGAAUUUAUUGGGAGCUGAUUCAAUGAACUGCAAGACUGUUGUUCUCCUUCUCUGGAUUCGACUUAAAUAUAUGAAGGUGCCAGUUGGAAAUAUAACAAGAAGGAAAAGUCCUGUAUUUAUUUUCCUGUGGCCUUUCUGCCAGGUCUCUGUAGAUCGACUGUAUACAUCUACCAACACUACUCAGCAUCUUCCAAGGGCCCUCUCCAUACAGCCACCUUCCCAGAAUUUUGAUUUGAAAGGAAGCUGGCUAUCAAUACUGUCGUCACUGAGAAAUGUUGUUGGUGAUACACCUACCUAUGGGAAAACCAAAUCCAGCUGUUGGAGCCUGUGACGUGUAAGGUAUAAGCUUGAGCUGAUGAAGCGUCUACCUGAAUUGGGCAUAAAUUCAUUCUUACUGGCUAACUAACCAGUUAUGGUUUUCUGCAUGGAAGAUAUUGCUGGACAAGAUGUUUCAGGAAGUGUGUGUUUUGGGUCCCAAAUUAGUAGAAGGAAGGGUGAAUGGCUCAUUUUAGUUAGAAGUGUCUUUAUUGCACACUAUUUCUCCCUUGAAUACUCUCUAUAUAUGGUUCAUAAUUGUCUUGCUUGGUUCUGAGAGCAGUAGUUUUAGUGUAAAACAAAUGGAGGGAUGCCUAAUUGGGUCAGUUGAUUAAGGUUUUGCCUUCAGCCCGGGUCAUGAUCUUGGGGUUCUGGGAUGGAGUCCCGCAUCAGGCUCCCUGCUCACCGGGGAUCCUGCUUCUCCCUCUGCCUGCUGCUCCCCCUGCUAAUACUCUUGCUCUCUCUCUUUCUCUCUCUCUCUGAUAAAUAAAUAAAUUCUCUUAAAAAAACA